This is a long non-coding RNA of Hibiscus syriacus, 500 nucleotides long. RefSeq lists it as uncharacterized. The record is from RefSeq and is a predicted model, not a curated record. NCBI's taxonomy places the organism in Eukaryota, Viridiplantae, Streptophyta, Magnoliopsida, Malvales, Malvaceae. The transcript is spliced from 4 exons.
GACUCCAGUUGGGCUUCCACGUUCUCACCAGCUAACUUCAUUUCUCCCUUCUCAGCUUUAAUUCCCAAUUUUUUCUCAGCAAUCCCUAGCUCUUUCCCCAAUUCCCCUCUACAAACCCUAAUUCCUCUUCCACGUUCCCAUCAUGUAACUUCAUUUCCCCUUUUUUUUAUUAUUUCAAUUCCCAAUUUCUCCUCAGUAAUCCCUAGCUCUUUCCCCACUUCCCCUUCUACAAAACCUAGUUCCUCCUCCUAGGUCGUUACGAUACCCACUUCUACAGUAGAUGCUUGUCCCCAGGGAUCGAAAUUAGGAAAUUGUGAUUUCAGAACCGAAAAGUCUUCCUAGGAUACACUCGGAUUUGUCCAUCAGCAUUCACUUCCGAAGGAUCCUUGGAGGGACCAUAAUACCUUGCUGAGAGUUUAAGGUUCUUUCUCAGAGCAACUGAAGUCUGUCUAUAAGGUUGCAAUUUAAGAUUGACAAGGCAUAUCCUCGUGAUUUCAUGC